GACGAACGCUGGCGGCGUGCCUAAUACAUGCAAGUAGAACGCUGAAGGAGUAGCUUGCUUCUCUGGAUGAGUUGCGAACGGGUGAGUAACGCGUAGGUAACCUGCCUGGUAGCGGGGGAUAACUAUUGGAAACGAUAGCUAAUACCGCAUAAUAGUAGAUGUUGCAUGACAUUUGCUUAAAAGUUGCAAUUGCAUCACUACCAGAUGGACCUGCGUUGUAUUAGCUAGUUGGUGGGGUAACGGCUCACCAAGGCGACGAUACAUAGCCGACCUGAGAGGGUGAGCGGCCACACUGGGACUGAGACACGGCCCAGACUCCUACGGGAGGCAGCAGUAGGGAAUCUUCGGCAAUGGACGGAAGUCUGACCGAGCAACGCCGCGUGAGUGAAGAAGGUUUUCGGAUCGUAAAGCUCUGUUGUAAGAGAAGAAAGAGUGUGAGAGUGGAAAGUUCACACUGUGACGGUAUCUUACCAGAAAGGGACGGCUAACUACGUG
This 495-nucleotide ribosomal RNA is filed under the name uncultured bacterium. RNAcentral's name for it is "partial 16S ribosomal RNA". It matches the Rfam family "Bacterial small subunit ribosomal RNA", at positions 28 to 507 of the family's 1533-position model. The record is from RNAcentral.